Molecule: RNA transcript, 3835 nt
Organism: Triticum dicoccoides
Lineage: Eukaryota; Viridiplantae; Streptophyta; Magnoliopsida; Poales; Poaceae
Gene name: MDIS1-interacting receptor like kinase 2-like
Exons: 2
Source: RefSeq, a predicted model, not a curated record
GCAACACAUCAUGCAAACAGUGGGCAGCAAAAUGCCAUCUUCCCCAACACCAUUGCAGUACCUCAGCCUAAUGUUGGUGCCAUGCCUUCUUAUCUUGCAAGAAGCACGGGCGGCGCACCAUGGAGGGGUCUCAAUGAGGUCUCAAAGCAUGGCCCUUCUCCACUGGAAAGCCACAAUAGCAAGCCCACCGUUCCAGAUGAGCUCUUGGAAGGAACACACAAGCCCCUGCAACUGGACAGGCAUCAUGUGCACGGCUGUUCACCACGGCCGCCGCAUGCCCUGGGUGGUGACCAACAUCUCCUUGCCGGAUGCCGGCAUCCAUGGCCAGCUUGGUGAGCUCAACUUCUCGGCCCUUCCAUUCCUCACAUAUAUUGACCUAAGUAACAACAGUCUCCACGGUGCACUACCCGUUAGUAUCAGCUCCCUCUCAGCACUUUCGGUUCUUACCUUUCGCGACAACCAGCUCACAGGGAAAAUUCCUUACGAGUUUGGUGGCUUGCAAAGUCUCAAGCUGCUUGUUCUCUCAUUUAACAGACUCACAGGACGUAUCCCUGCGUCUCUGGGCAACCUAACAAUGUUAACUGAUCUUGCCAUUCACCAAAACAUGGUAUCAGGUCCCAUUCCUGAGGAGAUUGGAAGACUUGUCAACCUACAAAUUCUUCAGCUAAGCAACAACACCUUAAGCGGCAUGAUACCAAAAACCCUUGGAAAUCUGACCCAGCUAAUUGGUUUGUACAUGUUUGGUAAUCAACUUUCAGGGCCUAUACCCCAAGAACUAGGAAGGCUAGUCCAUUUACAAAUUCUUCAACUUCAUUCAAAUGAUAUUUCAGGUCCAAUUCCAAUUUCCAUAACCAAUCUCACUAAGAUGAACCAACUUUUUCUCUUUGAAAAUAAAAUCGCAGGUCCAAUACCCCCAGAACUUGGCAACCUCAGUAUGCUACAACAACUUGCUCUCUACACAAAUCAAACAACAGGUUCAGUACCCCCAGAACUAGGGAACCUCACAAUGCUCAAUGUACUUGUCCUCUAUACUAAUCAAAUCACAGGCCCAAUACCUUUAGAAUUGAGCAUCUUGAUGAAUCUACAGUUUUUAGACUUGUCCAGCAACCAAAUAUCUGGCUCUAUUCCUAACAGCCUAGGAAAUAUAACCAACCUAGAAGUACUAUCCCUCUUUGAAAAUCAGGUAACAGGACCAAUACCUAAAGAAUUGGGCAUCUUGCUGAAUCUCCAAGAGUUAGACUUGUCCGAAAACCAAAUAUCUGGAUCUAUUCCUGGCAGCCUGGGAAAUAUAACCAAGCUAGUAGCACUAUCCCUCUAUGUAAAUCAGAUAACCGGUUCCAUUCCCCAAGAGAUUGGCAAUAUGAUGAACCUUGAAAGUUUAGGCUUGUUUCAGAACCAAAUUUCGGGAUUAAUACCAAGAACUUUUGGGAAGUUGCAAAGCAUCCAAAAAAUGCAAAUCUUCGAUAACAAAUUAUCAGGUUCUCUUCCUCGGGAAUUUGGAUAUCUCAUCAGCCUUAUUGAACUUGGGUUGGGUAUCAACUCCCUUUCAGGACCUUUACCUGCAAAUAUAUGUUCAGGUGGUAGACUUCAAUACCUCAGUGUAUCUUCUAAUAUGUUCGAUGGCCCCAUUCCAAGAAGUUUAAAGACAUGUACAAGUUUGGUUCGACUUCGCCUUGAGUCGAACCAACUAACAGAAGAUAUAUCACAAGAUUUUGGUGUGUAUCCACAACUCAUACAAAUGCGAUUAGCAUCAAAUAGACUCUUUGGGCAGAUCUCAACAAAUCUAGGUGCAUGUACGCAACUAAAAGAACUAAAUCUAGCACAAAAUAUGAUCACGGGUUCCAUACCACCAAUCCUUUCUAAACUAUCCAAUCUAGUAGAACUAAAACUCGAUUCUAAUCAUCUCAUCGGUGAGAUUCCACCAGAAAUCUGCAGUUUAGCGAAUCUAUAUAAACUCAACGUAUCGUCGAACCAAUUAUCUGGAUCCAUACCUACACAGAUAGAAAAGCUAAGAAAUCUAGGAUACCUUGAUAUAUCUAGGAAUAGACUGAGCGGAUCAAUACCUGAGGAACUGGGGGCCUGCAUGAAACUACAUUCCUUGAAGAUUAACAACAACAAAUUCAAUGGGAGUUUGCCUGGUGUGAUUGGAAAUUUAGCAGGCCUGCAGAUUAAGUUAGAUGUGAGCAACAAUAAUCUUGGUGGUGCACUGCCGCAGCAACUUGGGAAUUUGGAGAUGCUAGAAUUUCUGAAUCUAUCACAUAAUCAGUUCAGUGGCAGCAUUCCGUCCUCCUUUGCAAGCAUGGUGAGCCUUUCAACACUUGAUGUGUCCUACAAUGACUUGGAUGGACCAGUUCCAACAACACGGCUACUCCAAAAUGCUUCAGCAAGUUGGUUUCUUCACAAUAAAGGUUUGUGUGGCAACAUCUCUGGCCUCCAACUUUGCGAUUCAACUCCAGUUGCAGCCGAUCACCACAAACGGAAGAUACUUGGUUUGCUUUUGCCAAUUGUUCUUGUGGUGGGUUUUGGCAUUUUUUCUGCAAUUGUUGUCAUAAUAAUGCUGAGUCGUAACAAGAGAAAACCACAAGAAGUUGUUACUGCUGAAGGAAGGGACCUAUUCUCUGUUUGGAAUUUCGAUGGAAGAUUAGCAUUUGACGAUAUUGUAAGGGCAACAGAAGACUUUGAUGAUAACUACAUCACUGGAGCGGGAGGAUACGGAAAUGUCUACAAGGCACAACUCCAAGACGGGCAGCUAGUUGCUGUGAAGAAGCUGCAUCAGACAGAAGAAGAGUUGGACGAUGAAAGAAGGUUUCGCAGUGAAAUGGAAAUCUUAUUACAGAUCCGCCAAUGAAGCAUUGUCAAAAUGUAUGGAUUCCACUCCCAUUCAGCGUAUAAAUUUCUUGUCUACGACUACAUUCAUCAGGGAAGCCUCCACCAGAUGUUGGAAAAUGAGGAGACAUCAAGGGAAUUGGAUUGGCAAAAGAGAAUUGUCGUUGUAAAUGAUGUGGCUCAAGCAAUAUCUUAUUUGCACCACGAAUGCAGUCCACCUAUAAUCCAUCGAGAUAUAACGAGCAACAACAUCUUACUUGAUGCAACCUUCAAGGCUUUCGUCUCAGAUUUCGGCACAACAAGGAUUCUUAAGCCUGAUUCAUCAAACUGGAGUGCACUAGCGGGGACGUAUGGGUACAUAGCUCCUGAACUCUCGUACACAUCUGUUGUCACGGAGAAAUGUGAUGUCUAUAGCUUUGGUGUGGUUGUUCUUGAGCUACUUAUGGGGAAGCAUCCAGGGGAUCUAUUAGACGGUAGUUUGUCCAAUGGGAACAAGCUAUGCUGGUGAAAGAUAUUCUGGACCAGCGACCGACAACACCACCAACAACAAAAGAGAAUAGCUUAGCUCUGCUCAUCAAGCUGGCCUUCUCUUGCUUGGAAUCUUCUCCACAAGCAAGGCCAACCAUGAGGCAGGCAUACCAGACACUCAUCCAGCAACCCUCUUCUAGUUCCUCUUCCGUGCCUUUCAGUGCACUAACACUACAGCAAGGAAUGCAUGUUGACAUGUGAUCCGAAUUCUGGCGAGGAGCCAGGGACUAUCGUAGCGGAGGCCAAUUUAGGUUCCCACUUUAGACUCGAGUCACUCAUAUGCCACACAUAUAUACCUCCUGUAUGCCACACGGGAUGAGUUGAUGACUCAUUCUAAGUCUAUGUAUGUGUAGAAAUUCUCCUGAUAUAGCGAAAGAUAACUGUUUUUUGCCUGUGGUUUUUCCUACAAGGAUUUUCCACUAGAAAUUGGUUUCCUGUGUUCUUCUUCUUCAUAAUUAUUUCUCCAUUUGUUCGUUUGCAA